This 4429-nucleotide long non-coding RNA is filed under the name Homo sapiens (human). RNAcentral describes it as "non-protein coding lnc-SNRPN-8:119". The stretch from base 82 to 177 matches the Rfam family "Small nucleolar RNA SNORD116". Lineage: Eukaryota; Metazoa; Chordata; Mammalia; Primates; Hominidae. The record is from RNAcentral.
GGUGCCGAAGGUCUUUAAGGUCGUCAGCUCACCUACUGCCCAGCCUGUGGUGUCAAAUGUCCUGCCUCUUCAAAUGUGUUUGGAUCGAUGAUGAGUCCCCCCAAAAAAACAUUCCUUGGAAAAGCUGAACAAAAUGAGUGAAAACUCAUACCGUCGUUCUCAGCGGAACUGAGGUCCAGCGCGUUGCCUCCAGCAGGGACUGUUGGAGUGAGGGAGAGCUUCCACUAGUCCCUAUAGGUUCCACCACCCAGGGCAUCCGCAGGUGCACCUCACCUAAGAGGGUGGCCAGAGACAGUGUCUUGUCAUGACAUCAGAAGCCCCAUGAGGAAGAGGAGGAGCCUGUGCUCCUGCCAGAGGUGGUGGCUGUUAGGGACAGUUGCCGUGGGAGGUCCGCUGCCUGCUGUCAAGGAAGAUGGUCGAUGCUUCUGAGAAACAGGCCCUGCGGGUUCCUGGAUUUGGUGUGGCCUGGCAUCCACGGUGCACCCCGUGCUGGCGGGUGGCCCAGGACGGGGCAGUUGCCUUGAGAGGCCCACCGCCUGCUGGCAUGACAGAUGGUCAGUUCUUCCGAGCAGUGGAAUCUCCAUGGAGUCGUGGAGUCGGUGUGGCCUCGCAUCCACAGUGCACCCUGUGCUGGUGGAUGGCUCAGGACAGGGCAGUUGCCGUGGGAGGCCUGCCGUCUGCUGAAAGGAAGAUGGUUGAUGCUUCUGAGCAAUGAAGGCCCCAUGGAGUCCUGGAUUCGGUGUGGCCUUGCAUCCGUGGUGCACCCCGUGCUGGUGGAUGGCUCAGGACGGGGCAGUUGCCAUGGGAGGCGCAGGCCUGCUGGAAGGAAGAUGGUCGAUUCUCCCAAGCAACAAAGGCCACGUAGAGUCCUGGUUUCAGUGUGGCCUGGUAUCCACAGUGCACCCCGUGCUGGUGGGUGGCUCAGGACGCACACUCAUUUCCUCUGCACCUUCCUGGUGUCAUUGGCAUGGAAGGAAGGCCCUUGUCCAAGAAGGAUGGUCUUCGUCUUGUGUGAUCUUUGAGAUGCCAUGAGGCCCCUGGAUACAAAUGGUGUGGGCUCCUUUGGAGGCUUUUGGAUUUCUCCUGAAUGUGGCGUUGGUAUGGAAGGAAGGCCAGUGACCGCAAGGGAUGACUUUGAUCUUGGGAGAUUUUUGGAGAUGGCAAAGUGCUUCUAAACAUGUUUGGCAUGGUCUCCUUCAGGCUGGUGGAUACCUCAGGAUGGUGGCGUUGGCAUGGAAGGAAGGACUGUGUCUGUGAGGGAUGAUCAUCCUCUCAUGUGAUCCUUGGAGAUGCCAGGAAGCCCCUUGACACAUGUGGCAUGGGCUCCUUCAGAGGCUUUUGGAUCCGUCGUGAAUGUGGCAUGGGCAUGCAAAGAAAGACAGAGGCUGCAAGGGAUAAACUUCAUCUUGGGAGAUCCCUGGAGAUGGCAGGGAACCCAUGGACACAUGUGGCAUGGGCUCCUUUGGGUGCCGGUGGAUCCCUUCAUACGGUAGUGUUGGUGUAAAAGGCAAACCCGUGUCAUGAGGGAUGGUCAUCAUCUUGUGUGAUCCUUGGAGAUGGCAGGAAGCCCUGGACAUACAUGGUGUGGGGGCUCCUCCAGAGGCUGUUGGGAUCCUCCUGGAUGUGGUGUGGGCAUGGAAGGAAGGCCAGUGGAGACAAUGGAUGAUCUUGUUCUUAGCAGAUCACUGGAUGUGGCAGGGAGUCCUAGGACAUGUGUGGUGUGGGCUUCUUCAGGUGCUGCACACUCGUAUUUCCGCUGCACUUCCCAGGUGGUGUUGGCAUGAGGAAAGGAGGUAUCUUCGAGGGACAAUCUUCUUCUUGUGCGAUCCUUGGAGAUGCCAUGAGGCCCCUGGACACAUGUGGUGUGGGCUCCUUUGGAGGCUGUUGUAUCCCUUCUGAAUGUGGCGUGGGCAUAGAAGGAAGGCCAGUGGCCACGAGGGACAAUCUUGGUCUUGGGAGAUCCUGGAAAUGAUAGGGAGUCCCUUGAUAUGUGUGGCAUGGGCUCCUUCAGGUGCUAGUGGAUUCCUUAGGAUGGUGGUGUUGGCAUGAAAGGCAGGCUUGUAUCAUGAGGAAUGAUUGUCAUCUUGUCUGAUUCUUGGAGAUGGCAGGAAGCCCCUGGAAACACAUGGUGUGGACUCUUUCACAGGCUGUUGAAACCCUCCUGAAUGUGUUGUGGCCAUGGAAGUAAGGCCAGUGGCUACGAGGGACAGUCUUCAUCUUGGGAGAUCCCUAGAGAGGGCAGGGAGCCCCUUGACAUGUGGAAUGUGAUCUCUGUUGGGUGCUGGUGGAUCCCACAGGUGGUCUGGCAUGGAAGAAGGCCAGAGGCUGCGAUGGAUCAUCUUUGUCUUGGGAGAUUCCUGGAGAUGGUGGGGAGCCCCUGGGCACGUGCAGCAUAUGUGGCGUGGGCUUCUUCAGGUGCUGGUGGAUCCCUCAGGAUGUUCUGUUAAAGAGUCUGAAAAUGGAGCGUAGAAGACAUGCUUCGAUUUCCAGGAUGGUUGUGUUUUCCAGAGAGGCGGAGGUAAACCACUGGCGCAGCCCUGCCUCCCACAGAUAAUUCCGGGUGCAGUGUUUCAUAUCUAGACUUGGACUUCUAUCCUACCAUACUUCUUUGUGUGCAGUUCAUUGUGGAACCAGCACAGAUUUUCAUACGAAAGUUAUUUCUUUUUAACCUCAAAAAGUGACAGAAUGGAGUGUAUCAUGAAAAAGUCUGACAUCAAAACCUCAAAAUGUGAUAUUGAUUGGGUGAGAUAGAAUUCCAUGGAAUUUCAUUGCCAAACCAGUGAAGUGCUAAUUUUGACAUUUGUACCAGCUAACGUAGCUGUGAAGAAACACACCAAUACACUUCUAAGGACAGCAUAGACCAAGAUCUAGGUUUCAUAUGGAUGAAUUUAUUCUUCCCUUUGAGGCAAGACAAGAAGGAAAGAAAGUAUUGGGAAUAAUGCUGCCCUCCCAUCCUCAAGGGCCAGUGGGAACUCUAAUAUUGAUUGGUUUUCACAGAAUUCCAUGGACUUUAACUGCUGAACCAAUGAUGCACUGAUUUUGUCACUUGUACCAGCUAACGCAUCUGGGAGGCAACAAAACAAUACUCUCCUGAGGUUAAUGUGGACCAAAAACUAGAUUUCAUAUAAAAGAGUUUAUUCCUUCUACUUGAGGUGUGACAUGAAGGAAAGUAAUGGAAAUAAUUCUGCCCUCCCAUUCUCAAGGGCCAGGGGGAAUUCAAAUAUUGAACGGAAGUGAUUUUGGAAUUGCAUGGAAUUCUCACUGCCAUCCCAAAGAAAUGCUGAUCUUGUCACUCUUACCUGUUUCAUUCCCUGGGGGCAGAACAAAAGGACGCACUCCAAAGAUCGGCAUGAACCAAGAACUGGGUUUCAUAUAAAAUAUUUUAUUCUGUCCUCUUGAGAUGUGACAUGAGAAAAGUAUUGAGAAUACUUCUAUCACCUCAUCUUCAAGAAUCCGUAGGAAUUCUCCCAUGGUGGACUUUACGGUUAACCUGAACAGGUCUUGGAAAAAGGACUUUAAACAUUCUCCUGUUCUGUGGAAUAAGUAUACUUUUUUCUGGACAUACACCUUGUCAGUUCCAUGUGAUACUAGAGUUGCAUAGAUUUUUAACCUUUACGCCAAUGAAGAUCUGAGGCAAACAUUGCCCCUUUUUUAGAAGUUUGCAUUUGUCACUGAUAACUGUAAUAAUUGAUCUUGUUGAAAAGCCUGGGAAAUGAAGAUCUGAUAUGUCACUUUUACCGGCUUCCUCAACUGAAAAAGAAUACAAUGAAACACGCUGAGAAUUUUUGUGCUUUCUCAGUCUUGCUGAUGAUCUUUCUAUGGGCCUGAAGCGUGGAGAGUGCCAGAGAGGCUGAUCCUCAGCAGUGUGGCAGAGGAAAGUUGGGUGCGACUAAGGGGUAUGCGGUGCCCACAUGCCACUGGGUCCUCAGCAGUACCACCUGAUUGGAAGUGAUAUUGGUGGAAGACAACAUUUUGCCGCUUGGAAUUCUCACCUCCACACCAAAGAAGUACUGUUUUUGUCAUUUGCACCAGCUUCUUUCUCCAGGAAAGAUCAAAACGAUGCACUGCAAGUGUGAUUGGUCCAGAUAGCUGCCUUAUCCAACUGCCUCCUUUGGACCACUUCAUCAUGGGACAGCUUGAUGCAAUCUACUUGACAAGACCCUGGAACCCCACACCCCUCAUGGAACCAGUGUCCACCUCCCAGUCACAGUGUGACCCCAGGGAACUCUUGCCUGCUUGCUUUAAACCCACCACUUAAAAGUCUCCACAGAAAACCUGUUUGAAUAGUACCCUUGACCCAAUAAGGGCAUUGGCCCCUGGGUGUCUCUCUCUCUCUCUCUCUCUCUCUCUCCCUCUCUCUCCCUCUCUCUCUCUCGCUCCCUGACCUCUGCGUGUGGACUCCAGGCAUGCCAUAUACCCCUCAGGACCU